Molecule: long non-coding RNA, 240 nt
Filed under: Elaeis guineensis (African oil palm)
Lineage: Eukaryota; Viridiplantae; Streptophyta; Magnoliopsida; Arecales; Arecaceae
Description: long non-coding RNA (EGUI_LNC038381)
Source: RNAcentral
CUGAUAAAUUUUAGACCUUAAAUGUAUAAAAAAUUAGAUUGGCACUAAAUGGGGCGACCCAUCUGGGUUAUCUCCUUUCAUUGAGUAGCUGGCACGCACUGUUUUGGCUUGUGGCAAGUAGUGGAAUGACCCACUUGGGAUGACCCCUGAGAUCCUGAGAUCAAUACAGAAAAUCUUUCAAACUGACCAAAUGAGGCGGCUUAUGGGACUUCCCAGUCACAGUGGAAUGACCCAUAUAGG